This 492-nucleotide ribosomal RNA is filed under the name uncultured bacterium. Its description in RNAcentral is "partial 16S ribosomal RNA". It matches the Rfam family "Bacterial small subunit ribosomal RNA", at positions 29 to 507 of the family's 1533-position model. The record is from RNAcentral.
AGUGAACGCUGGCGGUAGGCCUAACACAUGCAAGUCGAACGGCAGCACAGUAAGAGCUUGCUCUUACGGGUGGCGAGUGGCGGACGGGUGAGGAAUACAUCGGAAUCUACUUUUUCGUGGGGGAUAACGUAGGGAAACUUACGCUAAUACCGCAUACGACCUACGGGUGAAAGCAGGGGAUCUUCGGACCUUGCGCGAUUGAAUGAGCCGAUGUCGGAUUAGCUAGUUGGCGGGGUAAAGGCCCACCAAGGCGACGAUCCGUAGCUGGUCUGAGAGGAUGGUCAGCCACACUGGAACUGAGACACGGUCCAGACUCCUAAGGGAGGCAGCAGUGGGGAAUAUUGGACAAUGGGCGCAAGCCUGAUCCAGCCAUACCGCGUGGGUGAAGAAGGCCUUCGGGUUGUAAAGCCCUUUUGUUGGGAGAGAAAAGCAGCAGGUUAAUACCCCGCUGUUCUGACGGUACCCAAAGAAUAAGCACCGGCUAACUUCGUG